RNAcentral lists this transfer RNA (72 nucleotides) under Hordeum vulgare. Its description in RNAcentral is "tRNA-OTHER". Lineage: Eukaryota; Viridiplantae; Streptophyta; Magnoliopsida; Poales; Poaceae. The record is from RNAcentral.
GAGGUGAUAGCCCAGUGGUUGUGCUAGUGUGUGAAGUGCAGUAGGUCUUGGGUUCGACCCCAAGCUACCCCU